Molecule: ribosomal RNA, 887 nt
Filed under: uncultured beta proteobacterium
Lineage: Bacteria; Pseudomonadati; Pseudomonadota; Betaproteobacteria
Description: bacterial SSU rRNA
Rfam family: Bacterial small subunit ribosomal RNA
Source: RNAcentral
AGGGUUUGAUCAUGGCUCAGAUUGAACGCUGGCGGCAUGCUUUACACAUGCAAGUCGAACGGCAGCACGGGAGCUUGCUCCUGGUGGCGAGUGGCGAACGGGUGAGUAAUGCACCGGAACGUACCCAGUAAUGGGGGAUAACACAUCGAAAGAUGUGCUAAUACCGCAUACGCCCUGAGGGGGAAAGCGGGGGAUCGUAAGACCUCGCGUUAUUGGAGCGGCCGAUGCCGGAUUAGCUAGUUGGUGAGGUAAGAGCUCACCAAGGCGACGAUCCGUAGCUGGUCUGAGAGGACGACCAGCCACACUGGGACUGAGACACGGCCCAGACUCCUACGGGAGGCAGCAGUGGGGAAUUUUGGACAAUGGGCGAAAGCCUGAUCCAGCCAUGCCGCGUGAGUGAAGAAGGCCUUCGGGUUGUAAAGCUCUUUCGCAAGGAAAGAAAACUUACCUACUAAUACUAGGUGAGGUUGACGGUACCUUGAUAAGAAGCACCGGCUAACUACGUGCCAGCAGCCGCGGUAAUACGUGGGGUGCGAGCGUUAAUCGGAAUUACUGGGCGUAAAGCGCGCGCAGGCGGUUUUGUAAGUCAGAUGUGAAAUCCCCGGGCUCAACCUGGGAACUGCGUUUGAAACUACAAGGCUAGAGUGUAGAAGAGGGGGGUAGAAUUCCACGUGUAGCAGUGAAAUGCGUAGAGAUGUGGAGGAAUACCGAUGGCGAAGGCAGCCCCCUGGGCUAACACUGACGCUCAUGCACGAAAGCGUGGGGAGCAAACAGGAUUAGAUACCCUGUAGUCCACGCCCUAAACGAUGUCUACUAGUUGUUGGUGGAGUAAAAUCCAUUAGUAACGCAGCUAACGCGUGAAGUAGACCGCCUGGGGAGUACGGUCG